RNAcentral lists this ribosomal RNA (226 nucleotides) under uncultured bacterium. RNAcentral describes it as "partial 16S ribosomal RNA". It matches the Rfam family "Bacterial small subunit ribosomal RNA", at positions 124 to 334 of the family's 1533-position model. The record is from RNAcentral.
CCUAGCCCUUCAGAGGGGGACAACAGUUGGAAACGACUGCUAAUACCGCAUACGAUCUAAUCUCGGCAUCGAGGAUGGAUGAAAGGUGGCCUCUACAUGUAAGCUAUCACUGAAGGAGGGGAUUGCGUCUGAUUAGCUAGUUGGAGGGGUAACGGCCCACCAAGGCAACGAUCGGUAGCCGGACUGAGAGGUUGACCGGCCACAUUGGGACUGAGAUACGGCCCAG